AUAAGUUAAAGGAUAAAGCAAUCCUGCCUUUUGCGAGCGUGACUCCACUUUCUAACUCUGUGCACUCAAUGGCGGAAGAGAUAAACUAUGCUCUUCUGCCGCUCAUUUUAUAACCCUAGUUUAAAGAAUGUAACGACAUAUCUACUAUAUAAUACUUAAAACUUUCAACAACGCGAUCUCUUGGAUUCUGGCAUCGAUGAAAA
RNAcentral lists this unclassified non-coding RNA (203 nucleotides) under uncultured Rhodotorula. RNAcentral's name for it is "sequence contains ITS1, 5.8S rRNA gene, ITS2". Lineage: Eukaryota; Fungi; Basidiomycota. The record is from RNAcentral.